Molecule: non-coding RNA, 72 nt
Organism: Phrynosoma platyrhinos (Desert horned lizard)
Lineage: Eukaryota; Metazoa; Chordata; Lepidosauria; Squamata; Phrynosomatidae
Source: the annotation of a GenBank genome assembly
GGCAGUGUAAUGUAAUGGUUUGAGUGCUGGACUAUGACUCUGGAGUCCUGGGUUCAAAUCCCCUCCUGGCUA